RNAcentral lists this ribosomal RNA (190 nucleotides) under uncultured bacterium. RNAcentral's name for it is "partial 16S ribosomal RNA". It matches the Rfam family "Bacterial small subunit ribosomal RNA", at positions 1303 to 1500 of the family's 1533-position model. The record is from RNAcentral.
GUCUGCAACCCGACUCCACGAAGUUGGAUUCGCUAGUAAUCGCGCAUCAGCCAUGGCGCGGUGAAUACGUUCCCGGGCCUUGUACACACCGCCCGUCAAGCCAUGGGAGCCGGGGGCGCCUGAAGUCCGGGACCGCGAGGACCGGCCUAGGGCGAAACUGGUAACUGGGGCUAAGUCGUAACAAGGUAAC